UACGUAGGGUGCGAGCGUUGUCCGGAAUUAUUGGGCGUAAAGAGCUCGUAGGCGGUGUGUCGCGUCGGCCGUGAAAACCUGACAGCUUAACUGUGGGCUUGCGGUCGAUACGGGCAUCACUGGAGUUCGGCAGGGGAGACUGGAAUUCCUGGUGUAGCGGUGAAAUGCGCAGGAUAUCAGGAGGAACACCGGUGGCGAAGGCGGGUCUCUGGGCCGAAUGACUGACGCUGGAGGAGCGAAAGCGUGGGGAGCGAACAGG
RNAcentral lists this ribosomal RNA (259 nucleotides) under uncultured bacterium. RNAcentral's name for it is "partial 16S ribosomal RNA". It matches the Rfam family "Bacterial small subunit ribosomal RNA", at positions 524 to 776 of the family's 1533-position model. The record is from RNAcentral.